GAUGAACGCUAGCUACAGGCUUAACACAUGCAAGUCGAGGGGUAACAAGAGAAAAGCUUGCUUUUCUUGUUGACGACCGGCGCACGGGUGAGUAACGCGUAUCCAACCUGCCUAUAACUAGGGAAUAACCUUGCGAAAGUAAGACUAAUACCCUAUGAUUUCCUUUGAUGACAUCAGAUUAGGAAUAAAGAUUUAUCGGUUAUAGAUGGGGAUGCGUCUGAUUAGCUUGUGGGCGGGGUAAUGGCCCACCAAGGCAACGAUCAGUAGGGGUUCUGAGAGGAAGGUCCCCCACAUUGGAACUGAGACACGGUCCAAACUCCUACGGGAGGCAGCAGUGAGGAAUAUUGGUCAAUGGGCGGAAGCCUGAACCAGCCAAGUAGCGUGCAGGAUGACGGCCCUAUGGGUUGUAAACUGCUUUUAUACAGGAAUAAAGUUAGCCACGUGUGGUUAUUUGUAGGUACUGUAUGAAUAAGGACCGGCUAAUUCCGUGCCAGCAGCCGCAGUAA
Molecule: ribosomal RNA, 506 nt
Filed under: uncultured bacterium
Lineage: Bacteria
Description: partial 16S ribosomal RNA
Rfam family: Bacterial small subunit ribosomal RNA
Source: RNAcentral